This 253-nucleotide ribosomal RNA is filed under the name uncultured bacterium. RNAcentral describes it as "partial 16S ribosomal RNA". It matches the Rfam family "Bacterial small subunit ribosomal RNA", at positions 524 to 776 of the family's 1533-position model. The record is from RNAcentral.
UACGUAGGGGGCAAGCGUUAUCCGGAUUUACUGGGUGUAAAGGGGGCGCAGACGGCGAUGCAAGCCAGGAGUGAAAGCCCGGGGCCCAACCCCGGGACUGCUCUUGGAACUGCGUGGCUGGAGUGCAGGAGGGGCAGGCGGAAUUCCUGGUGUAGCGGUGAAAUGCGUAGAUAUCAGGAGGAACACCGGUGGCGAAGGCGGCUUGCUGGACUGCAACUGACGUUGAGGCCCGAAAGCGUGGGGAGCAAACAGG